CCUACGGGAGGCAGCAGUAAGGAAUAUUGGUCAAUGGGCGCAAGCCUGAACCAGCCAUGCCGCGUGCAGGAAGACGGCCCUAUGGGUUGUAAACUGCUUUUGUCAGGGAAUAAACCCCCGCUCGUGAGCGGGGCUGAAGGUACCUGAAGAAUAAGCAUCGGCUAACUCCGUGCCAGCAGCCGCGGUAAUACGGAGGAUGCAAGCGUUAUCCGGAUUCAUUGGGUUUAAAGGGUGCGCAGGCGGAUUGGUAAGUCAGGGGUGAAAUAACACAGCUCAACUGUGGAACUGCCUUUGAUACUGUCAGUCUAGGGUAUAGUUGAAGUUGGCGGAAUGUGUCAUGUAGCGGUGAAAUGCUUAGAUAUGACACAGAACACCGAUCGCGAAGGCAGCUAGCUAAGCUAUAACUGACGCUCAUGCACGAAAGCGUGGGGAUCAAACAGGAUUAGAUACCCUGGUAGUCCACGCUGUAAACGAUGAUUACUCGAUGUUGGCG
RNAcentral lists this ribosomal RNA (493 nucleotides) under uncultured Solitalea sp. Its description in RNAcentral is "bacterial SSU rRNA". It matches the Rfam family "Bacterial small subunit ribosomal RNA", at positions 338 to 828 of the family's 1533-position model. Lineage: Bacteria; Pseudomonadati; Bacteroidota; Sphingobacteriia; Sphingobacteriales; Sphingobacteriaceae. The record is from RNAcentral.